GACGAACGCUGGCGGCGUGCCUAAUACAUGCAAGUCGAACGCUGAAGCGAGGAGCUUACUCUUCUUGGAUGAGUUGCGAACGGGUGAGUAACGCGUAGGUAACCUGCCUUGUAGCGGGGGAUAACUAUUGGAAACGAUAGCUAAUACCGCAUAACAAUGGAUGACACAUGCCAUUUAUUUGAAAGGGGCGUUUGCUCCACUACAAGAUGGACCUGCGUUGUUUUAGCUAGUAGGUGAGGUAAUGGCUCACCUAGGCGGCGAUAGAUAGCCGGCCUGAGUGGGAGGGUGGCCAGACUCGGACGGAGAGAGGGCCCAGGCAGCCACGGGAGGCAGCAAGAGGGAAUGUUCAGCGAUGGGGGCAAGCAUGACUGAGCAACGCCGGGUGAGUGAAGGAGGUUGUCGGUUCGGAAAGGUAUGUUGUAAGUCAAGGACGGGUGUGAGAGUGGAAUGUGCACGCUGUGACGGUAGCUUACCAAAAAGCGACGGCUAACUACGUG
Molecule: ribosomal RNA, 497 nt
Filed under: uncultured bacterium
Lineage: Bacteria
Description: partial 16S ribosomal RNA
Rfam family: Bacterial small subunit ribosomal RNA
Source: RNAcentral